AGAGUAUGAUACCGGCUCAGGACGAACGCUGGCGGCGUGGAUUAGGCAUGCAAGUCGAACGAGAAUCUUAACUUCGGUUAUGAAGAGAGUGGCGAAAGGGUGAGUAACGCGUAGGUAAUUUGCCCUUGAGACAGGAAUAACAUCCCGAAAGGGUUGCUAAUACCUGAUAACAUCUAUUAACCCUCGGGUUUUUGGAUCAAAUGAAGGCUCUGCUUUCGCUCAAGGAGAAACCUGCGUCCUAUUAGCUUGUUGGUGGGGUAAUGGCCUACCAAGGCGAUGAUGGGUAGCUGGUCUGAGAGGAUGGUCAGCCACAUUGGGACUGAGACACUGCCCAAACUCCUACGGGAGGCUGCAGUCGAGAAUAUUUCGCAAUGGGGGAAACCCUGACGAUGCGACGCCGCGUGGGGGAUGAAGGUCUUCGGAUUGUAAACUCCUGUUCUACAAGAAGAAUAGGCAGUUAGUGAUAAGCUAACUGCAUUGACUGUAUUGUAGCAGCAAGCCCCAGCUAACUACGUGCCAGCAGCUGCGGUAAUACGUAGGGGGCAAGCGUUGUCCGGAAUUACUGGGCGUAAAGCGCACGCAGGCGGCCAUAUAAGUCGGGUAUGAAAUUGCUUGGCUUAACCAAGCAACUGUAUUCGAUACUGUGUGGCUUGAGUACGAGAGGGGAAAGUGGAAUGUACAGUGUAGCGGUGAAAUGCGUAGAGAUUGUACAGAACACCGGUAGCGAAGGCAGCUUUCUGGCUCGAUACUGACGCUGAGGUGCGAAAGUCUGGGUAGCGAACGGGAUUAGAUACCCCGGUAGUCCAGACCGUAAACGAUGGGUACUAAGUGUAGGGGAUACGACUCUUCUGUGCUGUAGCUAACGCAUUAAGUACCCCGCCUGGGGAGUACGGCCGCAAGGUUAAAACUCAAGGUAAUUGACGGGGGGCCGCACAAGCGGUGGAGCAUGUCGCUUAAUUCGAAGCAACGCGAA
Molecule: ribosomal RNA, 973 nt
Filed under: marine metagenome
Description: bacterial SSU rRNA
Rfam family: Bacterial small subunit ribosomal RNA
Source: RNAcentral